UUUUGUAUAAGUUAGGUGUUGAAUAUGAAUAAAAUAUACCACAUAGUUUUAAUAUAUUAAAUGUGAUUUUGGAACUAAUUAUUAAUUGAAUUAUAUAUUAAAUUUAAAAGUAAAAAUGUAGAAUUAGGUAAUAGACGGCAGUAUGGUAGUAUAUAUAUGGCAUUGUACGUGCUCUUUUUCCCUAUCAUCCCUCUUCUUAUCUUCUAACCAAACUUCUCUCUGUUUGUGCCCAAACUUUCCAAGUUCAUCACUCUUUUCAUAACUAUAUAUAUAAUUAUAACCAAGUACCAGCUAUAUACAUAUAAUAUAUAUCUACAUAUCUUUUCUUGUAUCCUACAAAUUAAUUGUUGGUCUUCAAAUUAGUACAGAAAAUAUAUAGUCUAAACGAAUCUCCUUUUUGGACGUUAUAUAUAUAUAUAUAUAUAUAUACAUAUUUAUAUAUCUACACAUAGCUGCAAACCCAGAUAUAUAUACAUACAUUUAAUAUUGGUGAGGAGUGAUGNNN
This 505-nucleotide long non-coding RNA is filed under the name Carica papaya (papaya). RNAcentral's name for it is "long non-coding RNA (CPAP_LNC002072)". Lineage: Eukaryota; Viridiplantae; Streptophyta; Magnoliopsida; Brassicales; Caricaceae. The record is from RNAcentral.